CCGCGGUAAUACGGAGGGUGCAAGCGUUAUCCGGAUUCACUGGGUUUAAAGGGUGCGUAGGCGGUUUGAUAAGUCAGUGGUGAAAUCAACGGGCUCAACCUGUUAACUGCCAUUGAUACUGUUGAACUUGAAUUUGGUAGAGGUAGGCGGAAUGAUGCAUGUAGCGGUGAAAUGCUUAGAUAUGCUUCGGAACACCGAUUGCGAAGGCAGCUUACUAUGUCAAGAUUGACGCUGAUGCACGAAAGCGUGG
RNAcentral lists this ribosomal RNA (250 nucleotides) under uncultured bacterium. RNAcentral describes it as "partial 16S ribosomal RNA". It matches the Rfam family "Bacterial small subunit ribosomal RNA", at positions 515 to 764 of the family's 1533-position model. The record is from RNAcentral.